UACGGAGGGUGCAAGCGUUGUCCGGAAUUAUUGGGCGUAAAGAGCUCGUAGGCGGUUUGUCGCGUCUGCUGUGAAAACUCAGGGCUUAACCCUGAGCCUGCAGUGGGUACGGGCAGACUAGAGUGUGGUAGGGGAGAUCGGAAUUCCUGGUGUAGCGGUGGAAUGCGCAGAUAUCAGGAGGAACACCGGUGGCGAAGGCGGAUCUCUGGGCCAUAACUGACACUCAGGGACGAAAGCUAGGGGAGCGAAUGGG
This 253-nucleotide ribosomal RNA is filed under the name uncultured bacterium. RNAcentral describes it as "partial 16S ribosomal RNA". It matches the Rfam family "Bacterial small subunit ribosomal RNA", at positions 524 to 776 of the family's 1533-position model. The record is from RNAcentral.